Molecule: ribosomal RNA, 629 nt
Filed under: uncultured Pseudomonadota bacterium
Lineage: Bacteria; Pseudomonadati; Pseudomonadota
Description: bacterial SSU rRNA
Rfam family: Bacterial small subunit ribosomal RNA
Source: RNAcentral
CGAACGGUAACAGGAAACAGCUUGCUGUUUCGCUGACGAGUGGCGGACGGGUGAGUAAUGUCUGGGAAACUGCCUGAUGGAGGGGGAUAACUACUGGAAACGGUAGCUAAUACCGCAUAACGUCGCAAGACCAAAGAGGGGGACCCUCGGGCCUCUUGCCAUCGGAUGUGCCCAGAUGGGAUUAGCUUGUUGGUGGGGUAACGGCUCACCAAGGCGACGAUCCCUAGCUGGUCUGAGAGGAUGACCAGCCACACUGGAACUGAGACACGGUCCAGACUCCUACGGGAGGCAGCAGUGGGGAAUAUUGCACAAUGGGCGCAAGCCUGAUGCAGCCAUGCCGCGUGUAUGAAGAAGGCCUUCGGGUUGUAAAGUACUUUCAGCGGGGAGGAAGGGAGUAAAGUUAAUACCUUUGCUCAUUGACGUUACCCGCAGAAGAAGCACCGGCUAACUCCGUGCCAGCAGCCGCGGUAAUACGGAGGGUGCAAGCGUUAAUCGGAAUUACUGGGCGUAAAGCGCACGCAGGCGGUUUGUUAAGUCAGAUGUGAAAUCCCCGGGCUCAACCUGGGAACUGCAUCUGAUACUGGCAAGCUUGAGUCUCGUAGAGGGGGGUAGAAUUCCAGGUGUAGCGG